RNAcentral lists this ribosomal RNA (867 nucleotides) under Flammulina velutipes. Its description in RNAcentral is "LSU rRNA". It matches the Rfam family "Eukaryotic large subunit ribosomal RNA", at positions 76 to 930 of the family's 3401-position model. The record is from RNAcentral. Lineage: Eukaryota; Fungi; Basidiomycota; Agaricomycetes; Agaricales; Physalacriaceae.
UCCCCUAGUAACUGCGAGUGAAGAGGGAAAAGCUCAAAUUUAAAAUCUGGCAGCUUCGCUGUCCGAGUUGUAAUUUAGAGAAGUGUUGCCCGCGCUGGACCGUGUACAAGUCUCCUGGAAUGGAGCGUCAUAGAGGGUGAGAAUCCCGUCUUUGACACGGACUCCCAGUGCAUUGUGGUACGCUCUCAAAGAGUCGUGUUGUUUGGGAAUGCAGCACUAAAUGGGUGGUAAAUUCCAUCUAAAGCUAAAUAUUGGCGAGAGACCGAUAGCAAACAAGUACCGUGAGGGAAAGAUGAAAAGAACUUUGGAAAGAGAGUUAAACAGUACGUGAAAUUGUUGAAAGGGAAACGCUUAAAGUCCAGUCGCGUCGGUUGGGAAUCAGUCUCGCUCUUUUGCUUGACGUACUUCCUAGCUGACGGGUCAGCAUCAGUUUUGAUCGUUGGAUAAAGGUUGGAGGAAUGUGGCACCUUCGGGUGUGUUAUAGCCUCUGGUUGUAUACAACGGUUGGGACUGAGGAACUCAGCACGCCGAAAGGCCGGGUACUUGUACCACGUACGUGCUUAGGAUGCUGGCAUAAUGGCUUUAAUCGACCCGUCUUGAAACACGGACCAAGGAGUCUAACAUGCCUGCGAGUAUUUGGGUGGAAAACCCGAGUGCGCAAUGAAAGUGAAAGUUGAGAACUCUGUAGAGUGCAUCGACGCCCGGACCAGACGUUCUCUGACGGAUCCGCGGUAGAGCAUGUAUGUUGGGACCCGAAAGAUGGUGAACUAUGCCUGAAUAGGGUGAAGCCAGAGGAAACUCUGGUGGAGGCUCGUAGCGAUNCUGACGUGCAAAUCGAUCGUCGAAUUUGGGUAUAGGGGCGAAAGA